GGACAAUAUCCAUGCUGAAACCAUAGUGGAUUCUAACACUCCCAACAUGUGAGACCUGCUCUACGCCUGCCAGAAUCAGGUCCACACUCUGUCAGAACAGACAACAGACAUGACAGCUAAAUUUCAAACAGCAGCAAAAGUGAGAAGAAUAUCUAGAAACAUCUGCCAAGAACAGGCCUUCCUUGUGUCAAUAAAGGUAUCACCAUCCACUGUGAAGAUGAUAAACAGAAGACUCUGCACAAUAAUGGAGAAAAUGACUGAGAUUGCAGGAAACAAUGCUCUGCAAUUUUUUUCCAUUUGCUGC
This is a long non-coding RNA of Manacus vitellinus (golden-collared manakin), 304 nucleotides long. RefSeq lists it as uncharacterized. The record is from RefSeq and is a predicted model, not a curated record. The transcript has 3 exons. NCBI's taxonomy places the organism in Eukaryota, Metazoa, Chordata, Aves, Passeriformes, Pipridae.